Harmonia axyridis is the source of this 378-nucleotide long non-coding RNA. RefSeq lists it as uncharacterized. The transcript has 2 exons. The record is from RefSeq and is a predicted model, not a curated record. Lineage: Eukaryota; Metazoa; Arthropoda; Insecta; Coleoptera; Coccinellidae.
AGUUGGUCGCCUGUAUUUAAAUAAAGUAAGGGAUAUUAUUAGUAUUCUGUGGUAAGGGAGGCGUGUAUUUUAGAUUUAGGCAAUCUUUAAUAUCUGACUCAAUGCGCAUGCGUACAUGUCAAAAUAAGAGAUCCUGUAAUAAAAGAUCGCUUAUUUGUGUGUUGCAAUAACUCUCUAAUAAUGACUUUUGGGUUGAUAAUUUGCAUAAGGGCCAUUUUGCAAUAUUUGAGCAUAAAGAGAGGGUGGCAUAUGUUGUCUGCUAGCCAUCAAGAGCGGCUUUUAUUUUUUCAUUGAACUGGAAUCUCAACUCGUAUAUUGGUAAAUUUUUCAUUUAUUGAAUAGUUUAUUUCAUUAUAAUAGACCUCCUUUCUCUAUGGC